AACGCACAUUGCGCCCCUUGGUAUUCCGAGGGGCAUGCCUGUUCGAGCGUCAUUUCAACCCUCAAGCACAGCUUGGUCUUGGGCUUCGCCGCUAACCCGGCGGGUCUUAAAAUCAGUGGCGGUGCCGUCGGGCCCUGAGCGCAGUAAUCUCUCUCGCUAUAGGGUCCCGGCGGAUGCUGGCCAGUAACCCCCAAUUUUCUAUGGUUGACCUCGGAUCAGGUAGGGAUACCCGCUGAACUUAA
RNAcentral lists this unclassified non-coding RNA (242 nucleotides) under Archaeorhizomyces sp. RNAcentral describes it as "partial contains 5.8S ribosomal RNA, internal transcribed spacer 2, and large subunit ribosomal RNA". The stretch from base 1 to 52 matches the Rfam family "5.8S ribosomal RNA", at positions 103 to 154 of the family's 154-position model. The record is from RNAcentral. Lineage: Eukaryota; Fungi; Ascomycota; Archaeorhizomycetes; Archaeorhizomycetales; Archaeorhizomycetaceae. RNAcentral also lists the same sequence under 1 other name.